This 240-nucleotide unclassified non-coding RNA is filed under the name soil metagenome. Its description in RNAcentral is "partial contains 5.8S ribosomal RNA, internal transcribed spacer 2, and large subunit ribosomal RNA". The record is from RNAcentral.
AACAUCGCGCACCUGCGGGAACCUGCGGAGGGAUCAUUGAAGAACGCAGCCGGUCGCGCAUGCCGUGUGCGUGUACGUAGGCCACGCUAUUUGUGCCAAUUAUUAUGGAGAGGGCGCUGGUGCUGGUGCUGGCUAACUGUGUGGUUGGUUGGCAGUGGCAGCAGUGGGAUGUUAUAGUAUGGAACGAUUGACUGAGUGAGAUGAGAAUGGUGGUAGUAGUAGCAGCAGUAGUAACGACGG